AUUGAACGCUGGCGGCAGGCCUAACACAUGCAAGUCGAACGGUAACAGGAAAAAGCUUGCUGUUUCGCUGACGAGUGGCGGACGGGUGAGUAAUGUCUGGGAAACUGCCUGAUGGAGGGGGAUAACUACUGGAAACGGUAGCUAAUACCGCAUAACGUCGCAAGACCAAAGAGGGGGACCUUAGGGCCUCUUGCCAUCGGAUGUGCCCAGAUGGGAUUAGCUAGUAGGUGGGGUAACGGCUCACCUAGGCAACGAUCCCUAGCUGGUCUGAGAGGAUGACCAGCCACACUGGAACUGAGACACGGUCCAGACUCCUACGGGAGGCAGCAGUGGGGAAUAUUGCACAAUGGGCGCAAGCCUGAUGCAGCCAUGCCGCGUGUAUGAAGAAGGCCUUCGGGUUGUAAAGUACUUUCAGCGGGGAGGAAGGAAGUAAAGUUAAUACCUUUACUCAUUGACGUUACCCGCAGAAGAAGCACCGGCUAACUCCGUG
RNAcentral lists this ribosomal RNA (490 nucleotides) under uncultured bacterium. Its description in RNAcentral is "partial 16S ribosomal RNA". It matches the Rfam family "Bacterial small subunit ribosomal RNA", at positions 30 to 507 of the family's 1533-position model. The record is from RNAcentral.